UACGUAGGCAGCGAGCGUUGUUCGGAGUUACUGGGCGUAAAGGGUGUGUAGGCGGUUGUUUAAGUUUGGUGUGAAAUCUCCCGGCUCAACUGGGAGGGUGCGCCGAAUACUGAAUGACUUCGAGUGCGGGAGAGGAGAGUGGAAUUCCUGGUGUAGCGGUGAAAUGCGUAGAUAUCGGGAGGAACACCUGUGGCGAAAGCGGCUCACUGGACCACAACUGACGCUGAGGCGCGAAAGCUAGGGGAGCAAACAGG
RNAcentral lists this ribosomal RNA (254 nucleotides) under uncultured bacterium. RNAcentral describes it as "partial 16S ribosomal RNA". It matches the Rfam family "Bacterial small subunit ribosomal RNA", at positions 524 to 776 of the family's 1533-position model. The record is from RNAcentral.